ACGGUUACGAUUACCCCAAGAGUGCCCAAGGGAGAGGAAAGAGGUGUCAAACGCAUGCUGAGCCCCACUUCGGUAGUUUGGCACCCCCAUAGGCAUUCAGGCAAGCGUGCCUAUGGGUAAAGUCGGUUGAGCUUGUCAGCCAUGUUGGGUAUUAUUGUUUGGACGANAUGAUGGCACACGUCAAGCUUGCUUUAAGUUAACGUUCCGGCAYCACASCCAGCCCGCAAUUGCUAGUUCAAGCGGGUGGGAAUCUGCCUAUAUGGGGCUUUGCC
RNAcentral lists this unclassified non-coding RNA (272 nucleotides) under Helianthus atrorubens. RNAcentral's name for it is "partial external transcribed spacer". The record is from RNAcentral. Lineage: Eukaryota; Viridiplantae; Streptophyta; Magnoliopsida; Asterales; Asteraceae.